GAUGAACGCUGACAGAAUGCUUAACACAUGCAAGUCGAUGGGGAAGUGGUGCUUGCACCAUGGUAACCAUGGCGGACGGGUGAGUAACGCGUAAGGAACUUGCCUGCGGGACUGGGAUAACAGCAGGAAACUGCUGAUAAUACCGGAUAAGGUCAUUAAGCUGCAUAGCUUAGUGAUGAAAGGAGACGCCUGCGGAGAGCCUUGCGUCCUAUUAGCUAGUUGGAGGGGUAACGGCCCACCAAGGCGAAGAUAGGUAGCCGGCCUGAGAGGGUGGACGGCCACAAGGGGACUGAGAUACGGCCCUUACUCCUACGGGAGGCAGCAGUGGGGAAUAGUGGACAAUGGGGGCAACCCUGAUCCAGCAAUUCUGUGUGCACGAAGACGGUUUUCGGAUUGUAAAGUGCUUUCAGCAGGGAAGAAGGAAGUGACGGUACCUGCAGAAGGAGCGACGGCUAAAUACGUG
Molecule: ribosomal RNA, 463 nt
Filed under: uncultured bacterium
Lineage: Bacteria
Description: partial 16S ribosomal RNA
Rfam family: Bacterial small subunit ribosomal RNA
Source: RNAcentral